RNAcentral lists this ribosomal RNA (578 nucleotides) under Tanypteryx pryeri. RNAcentral's name for it is "partial 18S ribosomal RNA". The record is from RNAcentral. Lineage: Eukaryota; Metazoa; Arthropoda; Insecta; Odonata; Petaluridae.
UGGAGUAGUGAUAUGGUUGUGUGAAAGAWUAAGGGAUGGAUGUGUGAGUAGAAGGGGGAAUAAGGUGAAAGGGGGAAUGGGUGAUUAAAUGAGUUAUGGUUGGUUGGAUGUUAGGGAGAGUUAGAUGGAUAAGUGUGGUAAUUGUAGAGGUAAUAGAUGAAGGUGGUGGGGGGAGGAGUGAUGGAAGGGGGGGUUUUAUUAGAAGAAAAGGAAUGGGUGGGGUGGUGGGUGGGUUGGGUUGGUGAGUGUGAAUAAGUUUGGGGUGAUGGGAGGGUGGGAGGAGGGGGGAGGGAUGUUUGAAAUGUGUGGGUUAUGAAGUUUGGAUGGUAGGUUGUGGGGGUAGGAUGGUUGUAAGGGGUGAGGGGGAAUGAGGGUUGGAUUGGGGAGAGGGAGGGUGAGAAAGGGGUAGGAGAUGGAAGGAAGGGAGGAGGGGGGGAAAUUAGGGAGUGGGGGGAGGGGGAGGUAGUGAGGAAAAAUAAGGAUAGAGGGGUGUUUKGGGUGYUGUAAUUGGAAUGAGUAGAAUUUAAAUGGGUUAAGGAGGAAGAAUUGGAGGGGAAGUGUGGUGGGAGGAGGGGGGG